Molecule: transfer RNA, 71 nt
Filed under: Stegodyphus mimosarum
Lineage: Eukaryota; Metazoa; Arthropoda; Arachnida; Araneae; Eresidae
Rfam family: tRNA
About the family: Transfer RNA (tRNA) molecules are approximately 80 nucleotides in length. Their secondary structure includes four short double-helical elements and three loops (D, anti-codon, and T loops). Further hydrogen bonds mediate the characteristic L-shaped molecular structure. tRNAs have two regions of fundamental functional importance: the anti-codon, which is responsible for specific mRNA codon recognition, and the 3' end, to which the tRNAs corresponding amino acid is attached (by aminoacyl-tRNA synthetases). tRNAs cope with the degeneracy of the genetic code in two manners: having more than one tRNA (with a specific anti-codon) for a particular amino acid; and 'wobble' base-pairing, i.e. permitting non-standard base-pairing at the 3rd anti-codon position.
Source: Rfam by way of RNAcentral
GCCUUUAUGGUGUAACGGCAACGCACUCGGCGUGUAUUCGAGAGGUCCAGGUUCGAAUCCUGGCCAGGGGA